UCUGCCUCCCAAAGUGCUGGGAUUACAGGCGUGAGCCACCAUGCCGGGCCCCCAGCGUUAGUUUUAUGAAGAAUUGGACUGUGUAUAACAGAAACAAACACAUACAUACUGCAAACUUGGAGUCUUAAUGGUAUUUAAUCAAAAGCAAUUCAAUUCACUGUUUAAAAACCUUUGCCACAUUACCUAUUCACUUUAUAAAAAUCACGUUCAUCAUCAUGGAGAUGAAAAAGGUUCCUUGUUAAUGGCGAGUAAGUGGGUGGCUGCAGAAGACUGUGCAAAGAUACAGACAUAAAGGAAGAGAGAAAUUGGGCAGAGAGGGCGUGGGGUAUGGGAAGUAGAAGAAAGGACACAUGUCAUUAAGAACAAGUCGUUCUGUGAAACAGGAAUUUGAACUAAUAAAUCCUGUUGUCUAAUGGAAUGCACCCAAGAAGAAAAUAAACAGCUCAGUUGGUUGAAGACAGAUUUCUAAGAAGUUUUUCUUAUUGAGUACCCAAGGGAAAGCCAGUAUUUCAGAAGCUCUGGUGUCCAUGGUCAAAUGGUAUUUUCAAACAACUGUGGAGAGAAGUCAAGAUGCAUACACUUGGAGUCAUUAAAUAAUGAGGAAGACAAGGUGGUGAGAAAUCAUUGCUAAACUGCAGUUCACCCCGUGCCUGCCAACAGAUACAGAGCAGACAAGCUUGUGUUCCUGAGGUUACGCUGCUCUCAUUUAGAGCACCACUAAGCCAAAUGAAGAAUAUUACUUAUAUAUAGCAGACUCUUCCUCAGGGAGGAACCCGAGGAAAGUCACAAAAAAAGUAGAGGAAGCCGAAAGAGUGUUUUUAGUCUCACACAUCCUGUACUUUUUUUUCAGCUGCUAUUUUGAAAGAUAAACAUUACAUUUGUGGUUGAGUCGUCUUCCAGGUUAGAGAAAACAAAACAAUAUGGUUGUGAAAAGAAGAGGCCUGUGAUGGAGCUAAUGACCUUGGAAAGGCAGACUGCUUUCCUGGUUUUCAAAACAAAACAAACCAAAACAAACCAUUUUUAAAAAGUGGUUGAACAACGGUAAAGCCCUUGCAUCUAUCUCCAGUGCCCCUAGGCCCCCAGCUGGUUCUAGAGUGACCUAGACACAAAGAUGCUCUGUCCAGUGUGAGCAGAGGAAUGGCAUGCCGUCCCUGUAUAGCCAAUUCCACCUUCAGCUUUCAUUCGAUUGGCAUUUUGUAGGCAGGAAGUUGUGUUCAACUCAGGUUUUAUUGAAACUAGGGCAUUUCUAUAUUCUUCUUAAUUUGAAAAUGAAAGCAAAUUUUAUUUAGGAAGCUAGUGGAGUUUUCUUGUGGGUUUGAAGGCAAUCUCACUUUACCAAUGGGUCAAUUCCAUAGAUCCUUUUGUUUCCUAUUAGAUACCAAAAGUGGCUCCUACUUACUAUAUCCAAAACCCUGCUGUCAUCACACAGGGCACCGCUAAAGCCUAUAGUCAGCUGAGAGAUCAGAGAAUUUGAGAGGAAGAAACCAACCUAUAUGGCAUUAGUAGAGCAGUGGGUGGAAAUGCCUGCUGGUCUAGAUAUUAUUGGGCCUCCUUGAGAAAUUACUCAAUAUGACUGAUAACAUGUGUUGAAAGGUGUUGCAGAGUGGCUUCCUUUAUACAGUCUACAGUGGAAUUGACUUGUAAUGGUGCCAUUAGGUCGGAAUUGGAAGACAGAUAGGGAUCCAGAAGACCCCAGAUGCAUGAUUCUUAAACCUCCCAAUAAUAAAAUAUAUUGUUGAUUGGCAUUGUGUUAGGAUUCCUAUGGCUGCUCUAACAAAUUAUCACAAAUUUUGUGGCUUAAAACAACUGAAAUUUAUUCUCUCACAGUUCUGGAGGCAAGAAGUCCUAAAUCAGUGUCACCAGGCAGAAAUCAAGGUACUGGCAGAGCUGUCCUCCCUCCAGAUGCUCCAGUUCUUCAAAGAAAUGCUUCAGGAUCUUGAUCCUACUUGUGUAAAAUUUCCAUUGUCUGCAGCUGAUCUGGCCUCAACAGUUUUGGCAUCCAUCAAAUGGAAAGUUUGCUCAACUUUAAUUUUUCAGUCAUAACUGUGUAAGCUGAACCAAGUGAGAUGCCUAUUGUGUUGGCUUCUGUUUGUGCUGUUACACCAGUCCUCUUCAUUUGGGGCAUGGACAAGAUGAGUUUUUUCCUCACAGAUUGAUGUGGAUGGUCUGCCAUGGUGAGCUUUAUCUUAAAUAUCACCUCGUCCUUUCUUAAAAUGAGUUAUCCAUUUGUAAACUGCUGAUUUUGGGGGGUGCAUUGUCCCCAUAUAUUUUUCAUAAAGCAUCAAUAAUGUCACCAUUCUUCCACCCAAGCCUCACCAUCAAUUUGAUAUUUGCUCUUUCUUCAAUUUUAGCAGAAUUCAUGUUGCUCUGAUAGAGGCUCUUUUCAAACUGAUAUUUCAUCCUUCUUAGUGCCUCAAGGAGAUCCCGUUCAGACAUGCUAUAACAAAUUAGUAUGAGCUUCUUUUAGUGCAAAAAAAAUUUGAAAUCUACACAUAGUUUUCUCAUUAAAUGCAUUUUCCAUGAACUUUUAGAAGUCAGUCCCCUUGUGGCCGGAUGUGGUGGCUCACACCUGUAAUCCCAGCACUUUGCGAGGCUGAGGCGGGUGGAUCACCUGAGGUCAGGAGUUCGAUACAAGCCUGGCCAACAUGGUGAAACCCCGUCUCUACUAAAAAUGCAAAAAUUAGCCUGGCAAGGUUGCAGGUGCCUAUAACCCCAGCUACUCAGGAGGCUGAGGCAGGAGAAUCACUUGAACCCAGUGGGUGGAAGUUGCAGUGAGCUGAGAUCACACCACUUCACUCCAGCCUGGGCAACAGAGUGAGACUUCAUCUCAAAAAAAUAUAUAAUAAUAAUUAAAAAUAAAAAAAGAAGUCAGUUCCCUUGUAUAUAUUUGGCAUGUAAAACUCAGGCCUUAGUUUCACAUAUGUACUAAGGAAAAAUGGUUUUAGGACUUUGUAAUUUUGUCCUAGAGCUAUAGGUAGAUAUAAAGUGCUAUCAUUUAUUUUUCAGGCUUAUCUUCUUUCUCUCCCCUCACUAUGGGUGUCCUCCCAAGCGUCAGUGCUAGACUCUCUAACUAACCAUCUGCUCUAUGGAAGUUGCUUAUGAAGGGACACACUAUUCUCUCCAGGUGAUCACUGUCAAAUCUGCAUUUCCACAGCAGCUUUUCUCUGCGCUCCAGCCAAUGAGUCAGCUAGGCAGAAGUUUCUAUACUCCUUAUGGUUCUGAAAUUUCUGGAAUAUAAGUGACUCAAAACACCCUUCAUUAAUCUGACGAGAUGAAUUAUGAGCACCUUUCAAGUUAUCUUUUAAAUACAAAGUUCCUUCAACAUUGGAUAUGUAAUUUGGAAUACAUUGUACUAUGGAAUGGAAUUUGCUCACUUGCUUUCCCCUCAACCCAUCAUCUGGUUAACUCCUAGCUCCACUUAAAGUUUAAGAAAAGACUUUCCUAAUCCUCUAACACAAAUUCCGUCUGUUUAUAUCUAUUGAACACCUACUAUGUGCCAGGAACACAUAGUAAUACAAAAGACAUGAAGGCUAUGAUCUAGUAAGAGUGUAAUUGGUACAACCUCUGAAGACGGACCUUUCAUCUAGGGAGGAGCUGAAAGCCCUUUGAAGAUGUUAAUAAGAAAGAGACCUGCUAAUUAAGAUUGCUUAAAAAUAAAAACUCAUCUUCCAGUAUGUUUACAUGAUUGCUGGGAAGGUUCUGACUCAAAGAGAUUUGCUAUCACAGGAUCUCAUUCAGGACACCACAUUACCAUUAGUCACAGUGUCUCCUCUGGCUCCUCUUGGCUGUCAGUUUCUCAGAGCGUCCUUGUUUUUAAUGGCCUUGAAUAUUUUGAAGAGUAUGGGUCAGGUGUUUUGUAGAAAGCCCUUCACUUGGGAUUUAUCUGAUGGAGUUAGAGUUUGGAGGAAAACCCCAAAGGUAAAGUGCCAUUUCCAUCACAUCCUGUCAAGAGUGCUGGUGUUAGUCAGUCAGGGCUGCCAUGGCAAUAUACCACAGACUGUGUGUUUUAAACAACAGAAAUUUGUUAUGAAGCCUGGAAAUAUAAAAUCCGCAGGGUCGGUUUAUUCUGAGGCCUCUCUCCUUGUCGUGCAGAUGGCUGCCUUCUCAUUGUGUUCUCACAUGGCUCUUUCUCCAUGCACCCACCUUCUUAGGGCUUCUCUCCCUGUGUCCUAAUCUCCUCUUCAAAGAAACUACCAUCAGAGUGAACAGGCAACCUACAAAAUGGGAGAAAA
Molecule: long non-coding RNA, 4232 nt
Organism: Homo sapiens (human)
Lineage: Eukaryota; Metazoa; Chordata; Mammalia; Primates; Hominidae
Exons: 7
Source: RefSeq, a predicted model, not a curated record